GCCUCUGUCCGGGGGUCAGGCUACACCACCUGUUGUGGCAAGCGCUUCUGAGGAACUACAUUUUAAAUGUUACUUCUAAUUUGUAAGUGUACAGUAUAGUGAUUCAACACUUCCAUACAUCACCCACUGCUCAUCCUGACAACUGCAGUCCUUAAUCCGCAUCUCCUGUUUCACCCAUCCCCCGGCCCAUUUCCCCUCUGACCAGAUCCUGUACUGCAGGGAAAAUGCUAUAAAAGGACAUUAUUGGCUCAACUGACAAGAUUGGAAUAUAUAUGAAACUUAGAUACAGGAGAAUCAAAACCGGAAGUUCAUCCCUGGCCCUCUUGCUUUCUGGCCUUUGGCAAGCAGCAAUUUCUCAGUCAACGUGAACUACUCAGUCACCCUGUAGUCCAGAGUAAAUCCACUCCAACCAGGAGAUGCUUGCCCAGGGGACCAGCAGCAGCAGCAGUGGCAACAGCAUUCUGAUAAAAGCCAUUCGGGAGGCCAAAGAAAAUAAAGGAAGAGGAGGUUCUCAACCCUUGUCUGGGAGUACAAAUGAAAGGGAGACUUCUCUGGUUUUCCCUCAUUCACCCCAGGGACCAUCCAUAAGCUCCUGGGCAGGCAGCCGAGUACUGAAGGUACAACUCAGUCCAGCCCUUGUGCCCAUAGCACAAGCUCUGGGGAAGUGCACAGAGUUCACGAGAGGGCAGGAACAGUUGAGUUUGGAGAGCAUGGACUAGAUUUUAGCCAGAAGACAAACCUAUUCAGACACAAGGCAGUCAUGCGUGUGCAGGGAGUGUGGAUGAGGUUUCAGCAGGAAGUCACAUCUCAUCAGACACGAGAGGACACACACAGAGGAAAAGCCUUGUGUGUAAGGGAGUGUGAAUGAACUUUUAGCUCGCAGUCACACCUCCUCUCACACCAGAGGACACACACAAGGGAGAAACCCUUUGUGUGCGCAGUAUGUGGGCAAGGCAUUAGUGAAAAGUAAGACCUUGUUAAGCAUCAGAAGAUUUACACAGGAGAUAAGCCUUGUGUGUGCAGGAACUGUGGAACUGUGGCCAAAGCUUUAGAGUGAAAUCACAUCUCAUCCUACACCAGAGGAUACAUUCAGGGGACAAGUCUUUUGUCUGCAGGGAGUGUGGUUGGGGCUUUAGUGAUAGAUGAACCCUCAUCACCCAUCAGAAGACACAUUCUGGAGAGAAGCCUAAAGUGUGGGGGGAGUGUGGGCAAGCUUUUAGCCACAAGACAAUCCCCACCAGAGAACAAUCACAGGAGAGAGGCUUUACAAGUGCAUGGCGUGUGGCCGAGACUUUAGCCUCAAGUCUACUCUCAGCACAUAUCAGAGGACACACUCAGCGGAAAAGCCUUAUGUGUGUAGGGGAUGUGGGUGAGGCUUUAGCUAUAGGUCAGCCCUCAUGAGGCACCAGAGGACACACUCAGGAAAAAGCCCUGUGUGUGCAAGGACCAAGGGUGUGUGUUUAGGAACAAGUCAACCAUCAGACACACCAGAGGACACACUCAGGGGAGAAGCCUUGAUUGUAAGGUUAUGUGGACAAGGCUUUAGCUGGACAUCACUCCUUGUCACAGAGAAGAGGACACGCUCAGGGAGAAGCCUGUGUACAGGGAGUGCAAAGUGUUAGCUAGAGGUGACCUUGUAAGAAACACUGAGAGUCACAUCUGUCCUCCAUAAACCCCAUUAGAGCUGAGAGGGCUUCAGGGACAGUCUUCUAACCCUUGACCCCUCUGUGAGUGUGGAGGUGGCAGAGGUCUAGCUUCUGAGAACAGAGGUACCAAGUGAUGCUCCCUUUAGUGGUCUUUGCACCAGUCGACUAAAUCUUACUUCCUUCUGCAAGUCCAUUAAUUUUCAUUGACUUCUAUGACACUCUCCUGUUUUAUUUAUUUUUUUUUUCUAUGUCCCUAACCUUUGCUGCAUCCUCUUCUGCACCCACUUUUAGUGAUUGCUCGGGGUUGAGUCUCUGGCCCGUAAUCUGCGGGACACCUUAGCCAUGUCUUCCUGCUACCCCUCCAAUCCCAAACCCAGGUCCAUUUAGCCACAACCCAAAAGGUCUAAGUCUCAGGACUUAGACUUCAUAAUCAUGCUGCUUUGGCCCUCCCCUGGCAGGUGUAAGAUUUCUUGCAAUGUCCACCAUCAGCCUGACAAUACCAGGUUUCGGGGCUUUCUCAU
Long non-coding RNA from Mustela erminea (ermine), 2167 nucleotides. RefSeq lists it as uncharacterized. The transcript has 4 exons. NCBI's taxonomy places the organism in Eukaryota, Metazoa, Chordata, Mammalia, Carnivora, Mustelidae. The record is from RefSeq and is a predicted model, not a curated record.